UCCCGUGUUAGCCGCUGGUCGUAUCAUACAGCCCAUAUUCCAUUGCAGGUGAUGGGCCAACGUUCGUGUUGAGAUCCGCUGAGUUUCCUCGUACUCGUGGAGUUGAAUUUGUGGCAGAAAUUGCACUGAAUUGCAGUCAAAUGGUUGUGAAUGAAACGAGAUUUGUGGAAAAUGACGCCACUUCCCGUGUUAGCCGCUGGUCGUAUCAUACAGCCCAUAUUCCAUUGCAGGUGAUGGGCCAACGUUCGUGUUGAGAUCCGCUGAGUUUCCUCGUACUCGUGGAGUUGAAUUUGUGGCAGAAAUUGCACUGAAUUGCAGUCAAAUGGUUGUGAAUGAAACGAGAUUUGUGGAAAAUGACGCCACUUCCCGUGUUAGCCGCUGGUCGUAGCAUACAGCCCAUAUUCCAUUGCAGGUGAUGGGCCAACGUUCGUGUUGAGAUCCGCUGAGUUUCCUCGUACUCGUGGAGUUGAAUUUGUGGCAGAAAUUGCACUGAAUUGCAGUCAAAUGGUUGUGAAUGAAACGAGAUUUGUGGAAAAUGACGCCACUUCCCGUGUUAGCCGCUGGUCGUAGCAUACAGCCCAUAUUCCAUUGCAGGUGAUGGGCCAACGUUCGUGUUGAGAUCCGCUGAGUUUCCUCGUACUCGUGGAGUUGAAUUUGUGGCAGAAAUUGCACUGAAUUGCAGUCAAAUGGUUGUGAAUGAAACGAGAUUUGUGGAAAAUGACGCCACUUCCCGUGUUAGCCGCUGGUCGUAGCAUACAGCCCAUAUUCCAUUGCAGGUGAUGGGCCAACGUUCGUGUUGAGAUCCGCUGAGUUUCCUCGUACUCGUGGAGUUGAAUUUGUGGCAGAAAUUGCACUGAAUUGCAGUCAAAUGGUUGUGAAUGAAACGAGAUUUGUGGAAAAUGACGCCACUUCCCGUGUUAGCCGCUGGUCGUAGCAUACAGCCCAUAUUCCAUUGCAGGUGAUGGGCGAAAGUUCUUGUGGAGAUCCGCUGAGCUUCCUCGGCGUACUCGUGGAUUUAUGAAUUUGUGUCAGAAAUUGCAGUCGAGUGGACUUCUGUGCGUGUGUUGUGAGUAAAUCGCGACGGCUCCCUUCCUUCAGCAUCGUCAAAACGCAACAUAGAGCAUUAUUACGCACUCGUUCCAUGAUUCAUGAUAAUGCCUGGAUUCUUUUAAAAACAAUCAAUGUGUGUUCCCUAUCUAUCUACAUUGUACAUGGUUGCAGGUCGUUAUUUAUAAAUCUUGAUAAUUUCAACACUUUUCUA
Molecule: long non-coding RNA, 1261 nt
Organism: Sycon ciliatum
Lineage: Eukaryota; Metazoa; Porifera; Calcarea; Leucosolenida; Sycettidae
Exons: 2
Source: RefSeq, a predicted model, not a curated record